AGGGGUGUAGCUCAGUUGGUAGAGCGUCGGUCUCCAAAACCGAAUGUCGCAGGUUCGAGCCCUGUCGCCCCUG
Molecule: transfer RNA, 73 nt
Filed under: Chloroflexota bacterium
Lineage: Bacteria; Bacillati; Chloroflexota
Description: tRNA-Trp
Rfam family: tRNA
About the family: Transfer RNA (tRNA) molecules are approximately 80 nucleotides in length. Their secondary structure includes four short double-helical elements and three loops (D, anti-codon, and T loops).
Source: RNAcentral